RNAcentral lists this ribosomal RNA (301 nucleotides) under uncultured bacterium. RNAcentral's name for it is "partial 16S ribosomal RNA". It matches the Rfam family "Bacterial small subunit ribosomal RNA", at positions 509 to 807 of the family's 1533-position model. The record is from RNAcentral.
CAGUCGCCGCGGGAAUACGAAGGGUGCAAGCGUUACUCGGAAUUACUGGGCGUAAAGCGUGCGCAGGCGGUGUUGUAAGACUGAUGUGAAAUCCCCGGGCUCAACCUGGGAACUGCAUUGGUGACUGCAACGCUGGAGUGCGGCAGAGGGGGAUGGAAUUCCGCGUGUAGCAGUGAAAUGCGUAGAUAUGCGGAGGAACACCGAUGGCGAAGGCAAUCCCCUGGGCCUGCACUGACGCUCAUGCACGAAAGCGUGGGGAGCAAACAGGAUUAGAUACCCCGGUAGUCCCUGUCUCUUAUAC